Non-coding RNA from Fukomys damarensis (Damara mole-rat), 219 nucleotides. NCBI's taxonomy places the organism in Eukaryota, Metazoa, Chordata, Mammalia, Rodentia, Bathyergidae. The record is from Rfam.
AGCUUUGUGCAGUGGCAGUAUCGUAGCCAAUGAGGUUAUCCGAGGUGCGAUUAUUGCUAAUUGAAAACUUUUCCCAAAAGACUAGGAUAGGCAUCAGGCUUCUCAAAAGCCUCCCCAAAUCCCAGCACUUAGGGAGGCAGAGGCAGAAGUAUUUCUAGUUCAUGACUCACCUGAGUAACUUAGCAAGAGCUUGUCUUUUAAUUUUUAAAAAAAUGGGCU